CAAAUCUUCUGUUUCUUCAUCUGGGAAAUCGCCUUUUGUCAUUUUCUCAUACAGCUUUGCUUUCUCUUCAAGUUUCUUCCUUGAUUGAUCUAAGGUUUGAUCCUCUUCUGCCUUCUGCUCAAUGUCUUUCUCAGCUCGUUUUGCAACUCCUGUGUUUUGUUUGGUCCAGAUGCUUGGUUUCUUAUUGGAGGGUUUGGGCUUUGCAAAGAUGCCGGCAUCUUUCAGUAGCUUUUCUUUCUUGAAUUCUUCUUGUUUGCGGAAGAGCUCAGCUUUGAGAUCUACCAACGAGGAGGCGGCCACGUCCAGCGGCUUCUUCCUCCUGUCCAUGGCGCCCUGAGCUCCCCGGCAACCUCCCACCGGCCGCUU
This 366-nucleotide long non-coding RNA is filed under the name Gallus gallus (chicken). Lineage: Eukaryota; Metazoa; Chordata; Aves; Galliformes; Phasianidae. The record is from RNAcentral.